AGCGCUGGAAGUACGCCUCCCAAGCCGCGUGAUUGCCGCUGGCGUACUGGGGGAGGGAGCGCUCGUCGUCGGUCAGGGAGGCGCGCGCGACCUCGACCUCCUCGGCGAAGUAAGUGGGCUUCGCCACGGCGUCGGGUAACGGGGGAACAGGCACUCCCCCGUCGCUGAGCCGCCACCCCGUCGGCCCGGCGCGCAUGUCCGGCGGCGCCGGGAUGUUCGCCUGGAACAGGAGCCAGGACUCCUGUUCGUGGAGCGAACGCCGACUGAAGCCGUUCGCCGCCGCCUCGUCUCCGGGGAAGCGCUCUGCCAUGGCGACGGGCUCGGCGCUGGUAGAGAGGGAGAGAGAGGGGCUGCCGGUGGCGCUCGAGAAAGGAAGACGGAGACGGAGAGAGAGGGGCUGGGCGGCGGCGAGGGGCGAGUCUGGUGUGGGCACCGGCGAGUACCGCCGGCUUUUAUAGCCGCUCCGCGCCAUGUGUACGCGUGCGAGGGAGGGGAGGCGUCGGCGCGCCGUCCCGAGACGCGCCGCCCGUGAGGAAUCAAUGGCAAGGAUGACCGGCGGCAGCCUUGCCAUUGAUUCCCCGCAGGAACCGAGGUAGUUGGGGGGAAGACGAGCCGCCGUGUCCCUGACGUGGCUGGCCCGCGGCUUUUUCGCGUCAAAACAGUUUGCCCCGGCGCCCCCGGGCGCCCCCCAGCGCGCCAGGUUCGGCAAUCGGGCUCCUGGAGGCACGACUGGGCCGCUUUUUCGGCGCCGGCGCAAAAAAAAACGCCUGGGGAGGCCUUCCUAGGGGCGCGGCUGAAGAUGCCCUGAGGUUCAUGGAGGAGGGGGACAUGGAAGAGAGGAGGUGCCAGGUCCAGAGGGGAAAAUGUUUGUACAAGUUCCCUUGACACGAAUCAAACUACCGAGUUUCGUUGGAAAUUUGUAUGUGUGAGUAUUUCACAUGAACUGUGUGUUAGACUGUAUUUACAUGUGUAUAUUGUAACGUUGUAUACCACCUCAUUAUAUAUAUAUAUGUGAUAGGCCAUCCCUAGAGGGUUGUGCCGGUUCCCCCCAAAGCCUAUUGUCUUACAUGGUAUCACGCUAGGUUACGUCCGCUUCCGCCUAAAAACCCUAAACCGCCGCCGCCGUCGCCGUCGCCCGACUGCUAUGACGUCCGCCGCUGCGUCCGGCUCCACCGCCACCGGUUUUCUGCCGGCCUCCCUCGCGGCACUUCUCUCGAGGCCGCUGGAUGCCGUCUCCCUUCAGGCGCCGAUCGGGACACGGAGCAUCGACUCCCUCUUCGCGCUCCCGCCGGCUGCUACUUUGCCCGGGCAGGCGCUUGUGGCCCACACCGCCGCCGCCCCGUCAACCGCGGCUGUCGCGCCCUCGGCCACUGCGCCGCUGGUGGCGGAGGACGUCGCGCUGGCAGGCUUCGCGGCGUCAACCGCGGCCAUCGCGCCCUCUGUCACCGCGCCGGCUGCCCCUCUGACUGUCUCCACGGUGGUCUCACCUCAGCUAGUCUCCUCGAUGGGAUCGCAGCCGCCGCCGCCGUUUCACUUCGGCCAUCUCAUCACCAUCAAGUUGUCGUCGGACAAUUACAUCUUCUGGCGCGCGCAGGUUCUUCCGCUUCUUGGGAGUCACUAUCUGCUUGGCUAUGUCGACGGCUCUCUCCCUUGCCCUCCUGCGCUGGUUGACAGCGUGCACGGUCCGGUCUAUAAUCCGGCUCACCGUGUCUGGACAGGGCAGGAUCAGGCGAACCUCUCCUCCAUCCAGGGGUCGCUCUCUCCGGCCGUUGCUGGGCUUGUUGUCUUCGCCAAGACGUCCCACGAGGCAUGGACUAUUCUUGAGCGCUCAUUUGCGGCACAGUCGCAGGCUCGUGUAUCUGGGCUCCGUCGCCAACUUGGGGAGUGUCAGAAGCUUGACUCCACCGCCACUGAGUUCUACAACAAAGUCAAGAGUCUCGCCGACACGCUGGCCUCCAUUGGACAGCCCCUCACCGACUCCGAGUUCAACUCGUUUAUUGUCAAUGGUCUUGAUGAGGAGUAUGACGCCCUAGUCGAGAUCAUCAAUGAGAGAGGCAACUCCACGCCCAUGCCAGCACACGAGGUCUUUUCACGCCUCCUGCUUACUGAGCAACGAGUCGAGACGCGCCGAUCCAGGGGCAACGGCGCCCUCUCGGCAAACGCCGCCACCAAGGGUGGUCGCUCCUCUGCUUCAUCCAGGGCUCCUUCGGGGCAGUCACCACCACCCGCCUCGGCCCCUCCUCCUACUGCGACGCUACCAGGGGCUGGCGGUCCACGUGUGUGCCAGCUUUGUGGUCGCGAUGGGCAUUGGGCCUCGAAGUGUCACAAGCGCUUCCAGCGGGGUUUUCUUGGUCUCGGCAAUGACGGGAAGGAUACACGCAACUUUGCUCGUCAGGUCGCCAUGGCUGAUCGUCCGCCGCCGCAGAAGCCACAGGGACACACUCAGUCCUACUCCAUUGAUCCCCACUGGUACAUGGACUCUGGGGCGACAGAGCACCUGACCAGUGAGAUGGGGAAGCUUCACACUCGUGAACCCUACCAUGGCUCCGACAAGAUCCACACCGCCAAUGGAGCAGGUAUGCACAUCUCUCAUAUUAGUCAAGCAUCACUUCUCACUAGACAUGCCAAUAGGAGUCUUCAACUUCGCAAUGUUCUUCGAGUUCCAUCUGUGACACGUAAUCUUCUUUCAGUUCCUAAACUCACUCGUGAUAAUAAUGUGCUUUGUGAAUUUCAUCCUUUUGAUCUUUUUAUUAAGGAUCGGGGCACGAGGGACAUUCUUCUUAGUGGGCGGCUCUGCCAAGGUCUCUAUCGUCUGGAGCAUCCUGGCGUCGCUCGCGUCUUCAGUGGAGUUCGGGUAUCUCCGUCACAGUGGCAUGCUCGUCUUGGUCACCCGGCCACACCUAUUGUCCGGCAUGUUUUGCGUCGUCAUGAGCUUCCUAGUGUGUCUAGUAAUAAAGAUGUAGCAGUGUGUGAUGCUUGUCAGCAGGGGAAGAGUCAUCAACUUCCUUUUUCGAAGUCCAGUCGUGAGGUGAAACAUCCUUUAGAACUUGUGUUUUUAGAUGUAUGGGGUCCUGCUCAGACUUCUGUUAGUGGUCAUAAUUACUAUAUCAGUUUUGUUGAUGCUUACAACCGCUUUACCUGGCUUUAUCUUAUCAAACGUAAAUCUGAUGUGUUUGACAUUUUUGUUCAGUUCCAAAAACAUGUUGAACGCCUUCUCAAGCACAAAAUUGUUCAUGUUCAGUCGGACUGGGGUGGCGAGUAUCGCAACCUCAACUCCUUCUUUCAGUCGCUUGGGAUCACUCACCGUUUAGCAUGUCCACAUACACAUCAGCAGAAUGGUUCAGUAGAACGUAAGCAUCGUCACAUUAUUGAAGCUGGUCUGACUCUUUUGGCCCAUGCAUCUGUUCCGUUUCGUUUUUGGAGUGAUGCUUUCACCACUGCAUGUUUUCUCAUCAAUCGUACUCCCACUCGUGUUUUGAAUAUGAAGACUCCCAUUGAAGUUCUCCUUAAUGAACAACCGGACUACACCUUUCUCAAGGUGUUUGGGUGUGCUUGCUGGCCCCAUCUCCGUCCAUAUAACAAGCGUAAGCUCGAGUUUCGUUCCAAGAAGUGUGUUUUUCUUGGUUAUAGCUCUCUUCAUAAAGGAUACAAAUGUCUUCAUGUGCCAACUAAUCGUGUCUACAUCUCUCGGGAUGUUGUGUUUGAUGAGCAUGUUUUUCCCUUUGCCAAACUCCCUGUGUCCACUACCGAGCCACCUGUCAUGCAUUCAUCCUCUGUUGCUUCUGACCAAUUUGAUGAUGUUGCAUAUUCUCCUCUAUUGUUGCCUAACCAUGGUGCAGGCACUGGUCGUGGGGCUCGUUUGGAGAUUCUGGAAGUGCCAUCUUCCUCUUCGUCGCCAUCGCCUUCAUCCUCGGCACCUUCUGUUGUGCAUGAGGAGCACAUGGCGCCCCUGCAUGGCCUCGGUUUCCGUGCUCAUGCACGGCCGAUCGACGUCCUGGCCCGGUCGCCUCUGGCUUCUGGGCUGCCUUCGCCAUCGUCGCGCCCUGCAACCCCGCCGACUGGGCCGGCCUCCUCGGUCCCCGUCUCGCCCAGGGCGUCGGGGCAGUCAUCACCAGGCCUGGCCUCGCCCGCCCCUGCCUCGCCCAGGGUGUCUGGGCCCUUCUCAUCAGGGCCGGCCUCGCCUGCUCUCGCCUCGCCAAGGCCGUCUGGGCCGGUGUCACCGGAGCUGGCCUCGCCCACUCUCGGUUCGCCCAUGGCCUCUGAGCCCCUGUCGUCGGGCCAGUCUUCGCCAUGCAGCCCGGAGUCGUCUGUCCCGAGCUCGCCUGAGGUGAUUCCUGCAUCUCCGGCGACCGUCACGUCUCCGUCACCUUCGCCUCCGCCGGCUCCUGCUGCUGCUCUACGUCCACAUACGCGCAGUCGGAGUGGCAUUUUUCAGCCUAAGCAACGUCACGAUGGCACAGUUGCUUGGUUAGCGGCGUGCAUGUCUGCUGCUCUCGCAGAUUCAUUCUCUGAGCCACGCACGUAUCAAGCUGCUAUGCGCAUUCCUCAUUGGAGAGAGGCCAUGGAGCAGGAGUAUCAAGCGCUUCUUCGCAAUCAGACAUGGACUCUUGUUCCUCCACAAUCACGGGUAAAUGUCAUUGAUUCCAAAUGGGUUUUCAAAGUGAAGAGGCAUUCUGAUGGGUCCAUUGAGCGCUAUAAGGCUCGUCUGGUUGCUCGUGGUUUUCGACAGCGUUUUGGACUUGACUAUGAAGACACCUUCAGUCCAGUGGUCAAGCCUACUACCAUCAGACUUCUUCUCUCUCUGGCUGUUACUCGAGGUUGGUUUCUUCGUCAGCUUGAUGUUCAAAAUGCUUUUCUUCAUGGUGUCUUGGCGGAGGAGGUUUACAUGCGCCAGCCUCCGGGUUUCUCUGAUCCGGAUCGCCCUGAUCAUCUCUGUCGUCUUUCCAAGGCAAUUUAUGGUCUGAAGCAGGCUCCUCGUGCUUGGCAUGCUCGUCUUGCAAUGGCUCUUCGUGCUCAUGGUUUUGCAUCAUCAACUGCUGACUCCUCAUUGUUUCUUCUUCAAAGGCCUGAGGUUACUAUGUACUUGUUGGUCUAUGUAGAUGAUAUCAUUUUGGUCAGCUUCUCUCAGUCGGCUGCUACUGCGCUUGUUCGCUCACUUGGUGCUGAUUUUGCGGUCAAGGACCUUGGGAAGCUUCAUUACUUUCUUGGUGUGGAGGUUACUUCUCGUGCUGCUGGCCUUGUUAUGACGCAGAAGAAGUACUCUCUGGAUUUGUUGCAGCGAGCUGGGAUGCUUAAGUGCAAACCGACGACCACACCCAUGUCUACCACUGAUAAGCUCAAUGCUGUUGAUGGUGUGCUUCUUUCUUCUUCUGAUGCGACAGAGUACAGGAGUAUUGUUGGUGGGCUCCAGUACUUGACGAUCACGCGACCAGACAUUUCCUAUGCUGUUAACCGAGUCUGCCAGUAUCUGCAGUCACCCCAUGACACUCAUUGGUCUGCUGUUAAGCGGAUUUUGCGCUAUAUUCGUUUCACGGUGGCUCAUGGUUUGCAUAUUCGGCCGUCUGACUCUGGUUGUCUUUCAGCAUAUUCUGAUGCAGACUGGGCUGGCAAUCCGGAUGACAGGCGAUCCACGGGGGGUUAUGCUGUCUUCUUUGGCUCUAACCUGAUUGCCUGGAGUGCUCGGAAACAGGCUACUGUCUCGCGUAGCAGUACUGAGGCUGAGUAUAAGGCUGUGGCCAAUGCCACAUCAGAGAUCAUCUGGGUACAGUCCUUGCUUCAGGAGUUAAGUAUACCCCAAUCACAGCCUCCUGUUCUUUGGUGUGAUAACAUCGGUGCUACAUACCUUUCUGCAAAUCCGGUAUUCCAUGCCCGAACGAAACACAUUGAAGUUGACUAUCACUUUGUGCGUGAACGUGUCUCUCAGAAGCAACUACAGAUCAAGUUUAUUUCUUCCAAGGAUCAACUUGCUGACAUCUUCACCAAGCCAUUGCCUUUGCCACAGUUUGAGACUUGCAGGCGCAAUCUUACCCUUCUAGAUUCAUUAGAAAGUGGCUAAGAUUGAGGGAGGGUGUUAGACUGUAUUUACAUGUGUAUAUUGUAACGUUGUAUAUCACCUCAUUAUAUAUAUAUGUGAUAGGCCACCCCUAGAGGGUUGUGCCGGUUCCCCCCAAAGCCUAUUGUCUUACACUGUGCAUGCGUAUUUCAUUGUUUUUACGUAUCACGAAGGUCCUUUAUUGUUACGUAACUUGUCAUUACACACACAAGCACAACAGCUCCGUUAUUCUGCGGGGUAGGUAGCGAGAGACGCAUGCAUGUUGUCUAUCCGGGACGGUCCACAUGACAUCGUUUCUUCAGUAGAUACGUACGUACGCAUGUGUGGAUAUCUCGAUCUCCCCGCGUACGUGCACGAGCCAUGCAUGGCGCGCGCUGGCUGGCUGGCUCAGUAGUACGGCUGGAGCUUCCAGCGCUGGUUGUCGCCCUCGCACCACUUCCAGAGCACGACCUCGGUGCCGUCGCGCACGCCGCCGUGGUACUUGUCGCCGUUGAGGGCGUCGAAGUUGAGGUAGAUGUUGUUCACCAUGCGCACGCACCUGAACCCGUUGCCCACGUCCCUGCUCUCCGUCCACAGCACCGACUCGUCCAGGUAGUCUGGGUUGUACGGCACCAGACGCACCUGCAUGCACACCAAGAUGAUUCUAGAUUUCAGUUUAUGAAAACACAAAUGAAUGAAGGCAGCAGAGACUACUUACAGGGUGUGACUGGCCGAGGGAGUGCUUGAUGGCCUGCCCGGUGGCCUUGUUCACCAUGGCGAAGGCGGGGUAGCCCUCCUCGUCCUUGAUGCUGGUGCUCCACCUCAUGUCCUUGAUCCAGUGCUGGUAGUCGUCCUUGGGGUUGGCCGGCGCCAGCACCACCUUGCCGUUGCGCACGGACAUGGCGUAGUUGGGGUUGGCGCGGCAGUAGAUCUUCACCGUGGGCUGCGGCGGCAUCGGCCGCCCGCCGCAGUUGCCGUCGAUGUUCACCUGCGACAUGCCGUACGGCACCGGCGCCGCGUACCCGGGCGUCGCCAUCCCGUACCCGCCGUAGGUCUCGCGGUAGUAGUCCAUGGCUAUAUGCUCGAUCUCCUGAUCGACCUGCGCAAUGCAUGGCGACGGGACGGAGGAAUUUAUAGGGGCGACGGGACGAUCAUAUUCCAUUGGUGUGCUCUAAUACAUGGCGUUGGCCUCACGCUGCCUGUCAUGGUGAUAAGCGAUGUGGAUGUGCGGGGUGGUGGUGGGAUUCCAUGGAGCGAUUCCGUGGGAUAGACAGAUGAUGCCAUGGGACACUAGCUAGCUAGGUGGUGAGAUGUGGGUGUGCCGGACCAAGCUAGAGCCUGAGCUGGCUAGCUUUGCGUGAUUCGAUUUCUUUCUGGUAGUUUUGGGAAGAAGAAUCCCUCUCGUACGUACGUCCUCUAUUAUUGCUGGGGAGAUAGCUAGGGGAAGCCGAAUUUUACUAUGUGCUGUGCUUUGUCGCCGCACCGAUACAUUCCCGGUGUGCUCAUGAUGUGCUCGUUUCAAAAGUGAAGAUUUUUCUCCCGAAGAAAACUCUAAAGAAAAGAAAAGGAAAUAUUCGCGAUAGAAAUGGUAAGGUAAAGCGUCAAGACGGAACGGCCCAUUUCUGGAAUCUGGAUCAAUAAUUCAAUAUACUACCCCCCGCAGCACCAGAGAGAGGCGGGCCGGACUUGAUUUCGUUAUUAUGUAAAUUAAACAAUUGUACGUGGCCCGGCAAGACAUAUGGCAUUGGAUUCGUAUAAUCAUGGCCCGGUCUACCAGCAUGGCCCAGCGCAAGACAAGAUCUCAAAAAACAAAACUUACCGGGGCAUGCGGAUUAACUGAGCUCCAGCUCGGGUGAACAGUAAAAUCCAAAAGAAUUUAAAACAAAUUAAAUAAUUCUAAAAAAACUGUGGCAACAUUUGACAAAUGUUUAAAUGCCUGCAAAGUUUCACCAUAAAAUGAGAUCCGUGCAAGUUGUAGCAAAACAAAACCCCAAAAUCAAUGCUCCAAAAAGUUUUUUUCUAAGUGACUAUUUUUUUUUGCCACGACUUCAUGAAACAUUGCAAACAUUGAAAAUAUUUGUCAAAGUUUGUCACACAAAAAUUUCAGAAUUUUUUGCUUUUGUUUUCAUUUUUUUUUGGAUUUUACUGUUCACCCGAGUUCAUAUGAGUUCGAGCUGAGAACGGCACUUUCGCUUAUGAGGUUGUAUAGUUCAAUCAAUUUUUCAAGACCUUCAAGAUUAGUUUAGUUUGAGCUGAUAUGGUCUUCUGGCAAAGGGCAUCUUCAACGCUGAAAGGGCAUUUUCAACGCUGACUCCCAAAUCGGACAUACCAAAUUCGUCCGUGGACUGGUGGGUAUCAUUCUGUGGAAAGUGAUGCGGGAGCCAGUCAUUCAACCGUGCCCGCAUACAUCUCAAACCGGAUUUCAACAAACCGAAGGAAGUACACGCAAAUCAAAUGAUUUUCAUCUAAAUUGGAGCACAUUCAUUACAUUUUCGUCAUAUUUUCAUUAAACUAGCAUUUACAUGUCAAUGCCUCUUCUUAUUCCCUUUUUUUGGAGUCCUUUUCAACAUGUUUUGUGUAUUUUAUUCUCACGGUGGCAACUGAAUUUUGAAGGAAAUUUGUAGAUUGCUUAAGUGGCAAUAGUAUGGAAACAAAAUCUAGGACUUUUCAUGACCAAUUGCCCUAGUUCUUUAGAAUGGCAUCAUUUUAUUUCUUCGGGAGCUUUCGAAUGGUAUCAUGGUGUAAUGUAAAGGCUAGUAUCACUACAAGGAGGUUGCUAUACAUGGCAUACUCAUUGCAAAGAGCACUUUCCCUGCAUUUGUUCCUGUGGAAAACUUGUCUUGCAAAUCGUUAAGGCCUUGUUCGGUUCCAUGAUAAAUGAGAGGGAUUGACAUGUAUCGGCAGGGAUUAAAUCCCAUCUAGUUCAAANNNNNNNNNNNNNNNNNNNNNNNNNNNNNNNNNNNNNNNNNNNNNNNNNNNNNNNNNNNNNNNNNNNNNNNNNNNNNNNNNNNNNNNNNNNNNNNNNNNNNNNNNNNNNNNNNNNNNNNNNNNNNNNNNNNNNNNNNNNNNNNNNNNNNNNNNNNNNNNNNNNNNNNNNNNNNNNNNNNNNNNNNNNNNNNNNNNNNNNNNNNNNNNNNNNNNNNNNNNNNNNNNNNNNNNNNNNNNNNNNNNNNNNNNNNNNNNCAAAUCCCCUCCAUUCCACUCCAAUCCACUUGGGGAGUGGCUUAACCAAGGCCUAAAGGGAAAAUUUAACGGACUAGUUCUCACAUUUCAACUCCAUGUUAGAGGCACAACUUGAGCUUACAGUAUGAUUUUCAAGUAUGGAAUUUAGAUACAGUAUUUCUAAGGAGAGUACACAUUUCCCCUCGCAAAAUCAAGCCUGUUUGAUCUGAGAAAUUGGGCAUGGCAGAAGCUGAUGAACAAGCAAGGCCCCAACGGGUACAACAAACGUAGUACGAGGAGGGUGGAAGAUAGGUGAGCCCAUUGAUUAGAUCGCAGAAAAACGGAGACAAUGCAGGUCACAGAGUAGCACAGUACAGGGCCCAGUACCAAGAAAACACAGACGAGUUACAUCAAAGUUCAGACUUCGGAAUCAUGGUCCCUCUCCUCACUCUCUCCAACACUCUCUUCUUCCUCGCAGAAACGCCGGCUCAAUCAUUCAAUCACAAGGCGACACACGCACACAGACACCAUUGCCACACAUCGCACACGGUUUUAUUUGGACACAGCAACAUUAUUCGCUACCAGCGGCAGAGGACUACGACGACGACGGACGGACGGACGGACGGACGGCGACUAGGACGACUUGGGGGGCUUGUCCCCGGACUAAUCCAUGGCGAUGUGUCGAUGGCAAUGCGGCAGCUCAUCUCUGCACGAAGCAACAAUUCACUGGUCAGAACACAGAUGCAAGCAAGAUGUAUCAGGUUGAACUGCAGAGCAGUACGACUAUAGUACUUACACCAGGGGAGGAUCUUCCAGCGCUGGUUGUCGCCCUCGCACCACUUCCAGAGCACGAUCUCGGUGCCGUCGUGGACGCCGCCGUGGGCCUUGUCGCCGUGGAAGGCGUCGAAGUUGAGGUAGAUGUUGUUCACCAUGCGCACGCAGCGGAAGCCCUUGCCCACGUCUCGGCUCUCCGUCCACAGCACCGACUCGUCCUGGUACGCCGGGUUGUACGGCACCAGCUUCACCUGCACAUGCACGCACCAUCAAUUACAGAUCUUCAGUAAGAACUGCCGCC
This 10268-nucleotide long non-coding RNA is filed under the name Triticum aestivum (bread wheat). Its description in RNAcentral is "long non-coding RNA (TAES_LNC020145)". Lineage: Eukaryota; Viridiplantae; Streptophyta; Magnoliopsida; Poales; Poaceae. The record is from RNAcentral.